RNAcentral lists this ribosomal RNA (157 nucleotides) under uncultured bacterium. RNAcentral's name for it is "partial 16S ribosomal RNA". It matches the Rfam family "Bacterial small subunit ribosomal RNA", at positions 355 to 509 of the family's 1533-position model. The record is from RNAcentral.
UGAGGAAUAUUGGUCAAUGGGCGGAAGCCUGAACCAGCCAAGUCGCGUGAGGGAAGACGGCCCUACGGGUUGUAAACCUCUUUUGCCGGGAGCAAUGCCCAGCUCGCGAGCUGGGAAGGAGAGUACCCGGAGAAAAAGCAUCGGCUAACUCCGUGCC